AUUGAACGCUGGCGGCAGGCCUAACACAUGCAAGUCGAACGAGUGGCGGACGGGUGAGUAAUGUAUGGGAAACUGCCUGAUGGAGGGGGAUAACUACUGGAAACGGUAGCUAAUACCGCAUACCAUCGGAUGUGCCCAGAGGGGAUUAGCGAGUAGGUGGGGUAAAGGCUCACCUGGGCGAAGAUCCCUAGCUGGUCUGAGAGGAUGACCGGCCACACUGGAACUGAGACACGGCCCAGACUCCUACGGGAGGGAGCAGUGGGGAAUAUUGCACAAUGGGCGCAAGCCUGAUGCAGCCAUGCCGCGUGUAUGAAGAAGGCCUUCGGGUUGUAAAGUACUUUCAGCGGGGAGGCGUUACCCGCAGAAGAAGCACCGGCUAACUCCGUGCCAGCAGCCGCGGUAAUUC
This 406-nucleotide ribosomal RNA is filed under the name uncultured bacterium. RNAcentral describes it as "partial 16S ribosomal RNA". It matches the Rfam family "Bacterial small subunit ribosomal RNA", at positions 29 to 526 of the family's 1533-position model. The record is from RNAcentral.